This 107-nucleotide small nucleolar RNA is filed under the name Nicotiana sylvestris (wood tobacco). RNAcentral's name for it is "Plant small nucleolar RNA R71". It matches the Rfam family "Plant small nucleolar RNA R71". From Rfam's summary of the family: R71 is a member of the C/D box family of snoRNAs containing the C (UGAUGA) and D (CUGA) box motifs. Multiple nearly identical copies of this snoRNA have been identified in Arabidopsis, and it is thought to function as a 2'-O-ribose methylation guide for 18S ribosomal RNA. Lineage: Eukaryota; Viridiplantae; Streptophyta; Magnoliopsida; Solanales; Solanaceae. The record is from Rfam by way of RNAcentral. RNAcentral also lists the same sequence under 1 other name.
UAACAGUGAUGUGGGCAAUCUCUGGGUAGCUUUUUACAUCUCUCGCAGGCUUGACGUAGAGUCUCGCCAUCUUUUUGUUGAAACCCUAUAAUUUGGCUUCUCGGUGA